AUGAACGCUGGCGGCGUGCCUAAUACAUGCAAGUCGAGCGAACGGACGAGAAGCUUGCUUCUCUGAUGUUAGCGGCGGACGGGUGAGUAACACGGGGAUAACCUACCUAUAAGACUGGGAUAACUUCGGGAAACCGGAGCUAAUACCGGAUAAUAUUUUGAACCGCAUGGUUCAAAAGUGAAAGACGGUCUUGCUGUCACUUAUAGAUGGAUCCGCGCUGCAUUAGCUAGUUGGUAAGGUAACGGCUUACCAAGGCAACGAUGCAUAGCCGACCUGAGAGGGUGAUCGGCCACACUGGAACUGAGACACGGUCCAGACUCCUACGGGAGGCAGCAGUAGGGAAUCUUCCGCAAUGGGCGAAAGCCUGACGGAGCAACGCCGCGUGAGUGAUGAAGGUCUUCGGAUCGUAAAACUCUGUUAUUAGGGAAGAACAUAUGUGUAAGUAACUGUGCACAUCUUGACGGUACCUAAUCAGAAAGCCACGGCUAACUACGUG
Molecule: ribosomal RNA, 496 nt
Filed under: uncultured bacterium
Lineage: Bacteria
Description: partial 16S ribosomal RNA
Rfam family: Bacterial small subunit ribosomal RNA
Source: RNAcentral